UCCAGUCACUGGCAGCAGAGAACUGGAAGGAAAGGCGGCCAAAUGAGGUGUUGGCUUUGGGGAUGACCAGUGAGAUAUACCUGCUGGAACGUGUGCUACGUUUGGUGGGUGUUGUUAUCGUGACCAGUGAACUGAGAUAAGGCGGAGCUUUACCUAGCAUAGACUUAUAGAUGACCUGGAGCCAGUGGGUCUGACGACUUGAGCAUACAGGUCGCAGAGGUGGGUGGUAUAAGGUGAUUUGGUAACAAAACGGAUGGCACUGUGAUAGACUGCAUCCAGUUUGCUGAGUAGAGUAUUGGAAGCUAUUUUGUAGAUGACAUCGCCAAAGUCGAGGAUCGGUAGGAUAGUCCGUUUUACUAGGGUAAGUUUGGCGGCGUGAGUGAAGGAGGCUUUGUUGUGAAAUAGAAAGCCGAUUCUAGAUUUGAUUUUGGAUUGGAGAUGUUUAAUAUGAGUCUGGAAGGAGAGUUUACAGUCUAGUAGCCAUACCUACCUAUGCCAGAGACCUGGUGCCAGGUGAGCCAUCUUGGGUCCAACUCCAGGUAGUCGUACCAGGCCCUCCACUGUGUUAGAGAUGUCCCCUCUAAACUCGAUACACCCAGUCACUACAAAGAUGCAGGCGUCCUUCCCAACUCAGUUGCCAGUGAGGAAGGAAGCUGCUCAGGGAUUUUACCAUCAGGCCAAUGGUGACUUUAAAACAGUUACAGAGUUGAAUGGCUGUGAUAGGAGGGGAUUGAUUCAAUUAUCUGUCCUGCGUCAAAACAAAGUGAUGUAGGUCAAAUCAAAUCAAACUUUAUUUGUCACAUGCGCCGAAUACAACAAGUGUAGACUUUACCGUGAAAUGCUUACUUACAAGCCCGUAAUUAACCAACAGUGCAGUUCAAGAAGAAGAAGAACAUAUUUACCAAGUAGACUAUAAUAAAAAGUAACACAAUAAGAAUAACAAUAACGAGGCUAUAUACAGGGGGCACCGGUACCGAGCCCACAGGCUAGUUGAGGUCAUCAACAUGUAGGUGGGGGCGAAGUGACUAAGCAUAGCAGGUGCGAGCGCUUAGUAAUUAGAAAAAAGUCCGGAACUAAGGAUAUUUAUAGGGACAUGACCGACGGGGGAUAUUUACUUUCGACUGAGUCCACAAACAAUCCGCUGUGGUGAGUAUGCCUUGGUCACAGGUGCUAUAGCAACUUGUGGCGCAAUCUUAU
Molecule: long non-coding RNA, 1197 nt
Filed under: Salmo salar (Atlantic salmon)
Lineage: Eukaryota; Metazoa; Chordata; Actinopteri; Salmoniformes; Salmonidae
Description: lncRNA (ENSSSAG00000106368.1)
Source: RNAcentral